Non-coding RNA from Phyllostomus hastatus (greater spear-nosed bat), 669 nucleotides. The record is from the annotation of a RefSeq genome assembly. Lineage: Eukaryota; Metazoa; Chordata; Mammalia; Chiroptera; Phyllostomidae.
AUGGCCUGGCUGGUCCUGCCUCAAUCCUCCAGGGGCACCCAGCUCCUCUGUUGCAUGGUCCUGUAUCUGCUGGGACCAGGGUCAUUGGCUGCUGGAGUCACCCAGUCCCCAAGACACCUCAUCAAAGGCCGUGGUGGGGAGGCCGUUCUGAAAUGCCAUCCCAUCUCUGGACACAAGAGUGUGUACUGGUACCAACAGGCUCGGGGGCAGGAACCCAAGUUUCUCAUUCGGUAUUAUGAACAGCAGGAGUACGUGAAAGAAAACUUCCCCGACUGCUUCAAAGGGAAACAGUUCAGAGACUACAGCUCCGAGCUGGCCAUGCACACCUUGCAGCUGGAGGACUCGUCCGUGUACCUCUGUGCCAGCAGCUUAGACACAGCCUGCAGGGCCCAUGCCUUUCUCAAAGGAGAGGAUGCUGAUGGGUACAGUGCGUCUAGAGUGAACAUGGAGGACUUCCUGCUCAUGCUGGAGUCGGCCACCCCCUCCCAGACAUCUGUGUACUUCUGUGCCAGCAGAAAAGUGGUGAUCCACAGCGCUGCACGACCACCCUCUUUCUGCACAAAAACGAUUGUUGCGGCCCUGCACUCGGGAUUCAUGGGACCCCUGAGCAAACUCCUACACCUGAGAGCCCUGAGGCACCUUGCCUGCAGGGAGACCACAGGUGUGUGA